This is a long non-coding RNA of Panicum virgatum (switchgrass), 295 nucleotides long. RefSeq lists it as uncharacterized. Lineage: Eukaryota; Viridiplantae; Streptophyta; Magnoliopsida; Poales; Poaceae. The record is from RefSeq and is a predicted model, not a curated record. The transcript has 2 exons.
GCCGGAUCCAGCGUUCGGUCCAGUUGUUACUUGGGCUUAAAGUUUACGGGCCGUGUUGUGAGAUUUUAUAAGUUGCUUAACCGUAGUUGUCUUGUCAGGAAUGUAAAGGUUCGGCCGCGUAACAGCUGAAAAUUUCAUUAUUUAAUUAUUCAUUCAGUCGAGUUUUGGGAUGAUUAGGCAAUCUCCUUGCGUUUUUUUAGUGCUGUCUAAUCAUCUGUAUCAUGACUCAUGAGCUAACAGCUGGCUACUACACUAUAACAGGAUGUUCACAAUGAUCAUGAGGGUUCAGAAUUCA